RNAcentral lists this unclassified non-coding RNA (375 nucleotides) under soil metagenome. RNAcentral describes it as "partial contains 5.8S ribosomal RNA, internal transcribed spacer 2, and large subunit ribosomal RNA". The stretch from base 1 to 120 matches the Rfam family "5.8S ribosomal RNA", at positions 35 to 154 of the family's 154-position model. The record is from RNAcentral.
GAUGAAGAACGUAGUGAAAUGCGAUAAGUAAUGUGAAUUGCAGAAUUCAGUGAAUCAUCGAAUCUUUGAACGCAUCUUGCGCUCCUUGGUAUUCUGAGGAGCAUGCCUGUUUGAGUGUCAUUAAAUUCUCAACUACACUGACUUUGAAUUGGUGUGGCUUGGAUUUGGGGGGAAAAUUGUUGUGGGCUUUUUGUAUAGUCUGCUCCCCUGAAAUUGAUUAGCGGUACCUUUGUGGAACUGUCUACAGGUGUGAUAAUUAUCUACAUCUUAGACAUCUGCUGGAAUGCUGCUUUCUAAACCUUACUUGUAUUGACAAUCUUGACCUCAAAUCAGGUAGGACUACCCGCUGAACUUAAGCAUAUCAAUAGCGGAGGA